This 373-nucleotide ribosomal RNA is filed under the name uncultured organism. RNAcentral's name for it is "partial 16S ribosomal RNA". It matches the Rfam family "Bacterial small subunit ribosomal RNA", at positions 525 to 897 of the family's 1533-position model. The record is from RNAcentral.
GGAGGGGGGGCUAGCGUUGUUCGGAAUGACUGGGCGUAAAGGGCGCGUAGGCGGGGUUUUUAAGUGAGGCGUGAAAGCCCUGGGGCUUAACCCAGGAGGUGCGUUUCAUACUGGAAAACUUGAGUACGAGAGAGGAAAGUGGAAUUCCUAGUGUAGAGGUGAAAUUCGUAGAUAUUAGGAAGAACACCAGUGGCGAAGGCGACUUUCUGGCUCGUAACUGACGCUGAGGCGCGAAAGCGUGGGGAGCAAACAGGAUUAGAUACCCUGGUAGUCCACGCCGUAAACGAUGAGUGCUAGACGUUGGAGAGCAAUCUUCAGUGUCGCAGCUAACGCAUUAAGCACUCCGCCUGGGGAGUACGGUCGCAAAGAUUAA